Molecule: long non-coding RNA, 242 nt
Organism: Cyanistes caeruleus (blue tit)
Lineage: Eukaryota; Metazoa; Chordata; Aves; Passeriformes; Paridae
Source: RefSeq, a predicted model, not a curated record
GCAGUCUCUAGCAGCUGGAGGGAAGAUGCCAGUGGAAAGCCUGGGUGGCAUGGGCUCAUCUUCCCCGCCACCAUAAGCAGCUUUGGAAAGCACCCAAAUGUGGCUCAGGGCUGAAGAACAGCUCCUCAAAUUGCUCCCAGGGGCUACCUACCAGGAAGUUAUGUGACUUCAGUUCAUGCUUGUAGUAUUACAGUGACAUAACUGUUCUUGAAGGAAACUUGUUACAUGGUUUCUUAUAACAU